AUACUUCUGAAGAGUCCCAUAACAGGACGAAACAACCGUUCAGUAU
This 46-nucleotide non-coding RNA is filed under the name Schistosoma curassoni. Lineage: Eukaryota; Metazoa; Platyhelminthes; Trematoda; Strigeidida; Schistosomatidae. The record is from RNAcentral.